CUGGCAUCGGUGCUGGGGAGUGGUCCCCGGGGGGGGCCACCACUCCGGCCUCUCUUGGGGCCCGCACUCUCGCUCCGGGCCCU
This 83-nucleotide microRNA precursor is filed under the name Sus scrofa (pig). RNAcentral's name for it is "mir-1343 microRNA precursor family". It matches the Rfam family "mir-1343 microRNA precursor family". Lineage: Eukaryota; Metazoa; Chordata; Mammalia; Artiodactyla; Suidae. The record is from Rfam by way of RNAcentral.